AACGAACGCUGGCGGCAUGCCUAACACAUGCAAGUCGAACGAGACCUUCGGGUCUAGUGGCGCACGGGUGCGUAACGCGUGGGAACCUGCCCUUAGGUUCGGAAUAACUCCCCGAAAGGGGUGCUAAUACCGGAUAAUGUCUUCGGACCAAAGAUUUAUCGCCUUUGGAUGGGCCCGCGUUGGAUUAGCUAGUUGGUAGGGUAAAAGCCUACCACGGCGACGAUCCAUAGCUGGUCUGAGAGGAUGAUCAGCCACACUGGGACUGAGACACGGCCCAGACUCCUACGGGAAGCAGGAGUGGGGAAUAUUGGACAAUGGGGGAAAGCAUGAUCCAGCAAUGCCGCGUGAGUGAUGAAGGCCUUAGGGUUGUAAAGCUCUUUUACCCGGGAUGAUAAUGGCAGUACCGGGAGAAUAAGCUCCGGCUAACUCCGUG
This 433-nucleotide ribosomal RNA is filed under the name uncultured bacterium. RNAcentral describes it as "partial 16S ribosomal RNA". It matches the Rfam family "Bacterial small subunit ribosomal RNA", at positions 29 to 507 of the family's 1533-position model. The record is from RNAcentral.